GGGAAAUUCUACCUCGUUGAUGCGGGGUAUGCUGUGAGACCUGGUUUUCUUCCACCAUACCGUGCCACAAUGUACCACUUGAAGGAGUAUGGGCGAGGGAAUCACCCUCAAAAUGAGAAAGAGUUGUUCAACUUAAGACACUCUUCUUUGAGGACAUCAGUCGAAAGGGCUUUUGGCGCGUACAAAAAUCGGUGGAAGUUUGUUUACAAUAAGCCAUUUCAUCCUUUCAAGACCCAAGUAAAAGUAGUCAUUGCUUGUGCAAUUCUCCACAACUGGGUACUUCAAUUUGGUGAGGAUGAAUAUUUCCCUCCGGAGGAAACUUGGGACCCGGAACCCACCGACGAAGAUCACAAUGAUAUAGUCCAUGACAAUAAUUCUUGGGCUCAUAAGAGAGACUAG
Molecule: ribosomal RNA, 399 nt
Filed under: Triticum aestivum (bread wheat)
Lineage: Eukaryota; Viridiplantae; Streptophyta; Magnoliopsida; Poales; Poaceae
Description: partial small subunit ribosomal RNA
Source: RNAcentral